Lepisosteus oculatus (spotted gar) is the source of this 340-nucleotide long non-coding RNA. RefSeq lists it as uncharacterized. The record is from RefSeq and is a predicted model, not a curated record. NCBI's taxonomy places the organism in Eukaryota, Metazoa, Chordata, Actinopteri, Semionotiformes, Lepisosteidae.
CUGAGAGUUCUGAUGUAGGCUUUUCAAAGGGCCCUGUUUUCACUCUGAUGAGAGGCAUUACCAUAUUGCUGUUGACUACAAAUAGGGACUGACAGCUCGCAGAGAAGCAGAGCUCGGCGGAGGCAACCUUUUGUUUGAAUCGUUGAACGGCAAUGCCAGUGAGCUGUGAGAGCUCAACGCAUCUUUUGACAGCAAAUGCAGAACUGUCCCUUUGAAAAGCAAUUAAGUGCAUUUGAAAGGGCUUGAGUACACCAAGAAAAGGAUUGCUACAGCAGCACAAGAACAGCGAAAGGGGCAGGCCAACCAGAGAGGUGCUCAGGACUGGUAUUAUGGAAUUCUU